RNAcentral lists this ribosomal RNA (449 nucleotides) under uncultured bacterium. RNAcentral's name for it is "bacterial SSU rRNA". It matches the Rfam family "Bacterial small subunit ribosomal RNA", at positions 329 to 795 of the family's 1533-position model. The record is from RNAcentral.
UGCCAGACUCCUACGGGAGGCAGCAGUGGGGAAUAUUGCACAAUGGGGGAAACCCUGAUGCAGCAACGCCGCGUGAGUGAAGAAGUAUUUCGGUAUGUAAAGCUCUAUCAGCAGGGAAGAAAAUGACGGUACCUGAGUAAGAAGCCCCGGCUAACUACGUGCCAGCAGCCGCGGUAAUACGUAGGGGGCAAGCGUUAUCCGGAUUUACUGGGUGUAAAGGGAGCGUAGACGGCGAUACAAGUCUGAAGUGAAAGCCCGGGGCUCAACCCCGGGACUGCUUUGGAAACUGUGUUGCUGGAGUGCUGGAGAGGCAAGCGGAAUUCCUAGUGUAGCGGUGAAAUGCGUAGAUAUUAGGAAGAACACCAGUGGCGAAGGCGGCUUGCUGGACAGUAACUGACGUUGAGGCUCGAAAGCGUGGGGAGCAAACAGGAUUAGAUACCCUAGUACCC